CCUACGGGAGGCAGCAGUGAGGAAUAUUGGUCAAUGGGCGCAGGCCUGACCCAGCCACGUCGCGUGAGGGAAGACUGCCCUCUGGGUUGUAAACCUCUUUUCUAAGGGCGGAAUAAUGACUACGUGUAGUCAGAUGCCCGUCCCUUAUGAAUAUGCAUCCGCUAACUCCGUGCCAGCAGCCGCGGUAAUACGGAGGAUGCGCUCGUUCUCCGGAUUUAUUGGGUUUAAAGGGUGCGUAGGCGGUAUUUUAAGUAAGUGGGAAAACGUCGGGGCUUCACCUUGAUUGGCCAUUAAAACUGGAGUACUAGAGUACAGACGAGGUAGGCGGAAUAAGUGAAGUAGCGGUGAAAUGCUUAGAUAUAACGUAGAACCCCGAUAGCGAAGGCAGCUUACCAGACUGUUACUGACGCUGAAGCACGAGAGCGUGGGUAGCGAACAGGAUUAGAUACCCGGGUAGUC
This 459-nucleotide ribosomal RNA is filed under the name uncultured bacterium. Its description in RNAcentral is "partial 16S ribosomal RNA". It matches the Rfam family "Bacterial small subunit ribosomal RNA", at positions 338 to 795 of the family's 1533-position model. The record is from RNAcentral.